Molecule: small RNA, 121 nt
Filed under: Marmota monax (woodchuck)
Lineage: Eukaryota; Metazoa; Chordata; Mammalia; Rodentia; Sciuridae
Source: RNAcentral
GCUGGGCACGGUGACGCACACCUGUAACCCCAGCAGCUUGGGAGGCUGAGGCAGGAGGAUCGUGAGUUCAAAGCCAGCCUCAGUAACAGCGAGGCGCUAAGCAACUGAGACCCUGUCUCUA